CUGUCAUCUUUUUUUCAUAAUUAUUAUUAUUUAAUUUGUUUUCAUUUCUUGACAUUUCUUAAAUUACUUUCCAUAUUUUUCAUAAUUAUAUAUUACAUUUCUUGACAUUUCUUAUAUUACUUUCAUUUUUUUUUCAAAGUAUAUAUUAUUUACAUUUCUUUUCAUUUCAUUUUUUAUUACUUUCACUAUUUCUCGGUCUUUGGCCUGUUUCAAACGUCGCAUUUUGCACGUGUCGAAUUUAAAUCGCUUUGGCGUGGCAUCGAAAACUUCAUGUAAUGUGUUUCGGAGAAAGAAAAAUCUUUGGAUAUAUAUUUCUAUUUUUCCAACAAUUUAGGCUUAAACAUUCUUAAGACGUUCUUAAGUACAGUAAUCACAAGGUAUUUUUGCAGUUUAACGAUCUUCGGUGUAUUCUUAGUAAAUUCUUUAAAUUGUGCUUAUUUUAACCUUAGAUUUUUAUAUGUUUUAAUAUCUCAAGCUAAACGUUGUUCCAGGCAACGCCCAAGCCCAAUUGAAUUCACA
Molecule: non-coding RNA, 519 nt
Organism: Paramuricea clavata
Lineage: Eukaryota; Metazoa; Cnidaria; Anthozoa; Malacalcyonacea; Plexauridae
Source: the annotation of a GenBank genome assembly